AUUUUUCAGAAGUGGAUUUAGUGCUCAUGAAAGGUGUCAGGUUGAGGUCCUUGGAAGCCAAAGUGGUCUUUUUAACCCAUAGAUCAGAGCCCUUAAAAAUUAUUUUUCUGGUGACAAGGUAUGCAAGGACUCCUCUUCAGGCCAAGUCCAUGCAGCAUAAGGAGGUGCAUGUCUCUCACUGCUUAAACCCAGAUGCAGGAGAAGUGAAGGUGAUGCCUGAAUCCACCAGUCCUUUGGUCAGAGAUAACUUUUCCUCCCUGGACAGUGGGAAAAGUGUUUCUUCAGGCUUUAUCUGAGUGCUGUCUCCUCUCCUGUGGGUGCUGAGGCUGCUGAGUCAGUGCCAAAUGAGGUCAGUCGUGAUGUCCAUUUCGGGGAACUGGACACAGGCCUGAAACAUCCUGAAAUGGCAUUCCUUGGGCCCUUUUCCU
Molecule: long non-coding RNA, 428 nt
Organism: Passer domesticus (house sparrow)
Lineage: Eukaryota; Metazoa; Chordata; Aves; Passeriformes; Passeridae
Exons: 3
Source: RefSeq, a predicted model, not a curated record